This 518-nucleotide ribosomal RNA is filed under the name uncultured Glomus. RNAcentral's name for it is "SSU rRNA". It matches the Rfam family "Eukaryotic small subunit ribosomal RNA", at positions 569 to 1089 of the family's 1831-position model. The record is from RNAcentral. Lineage: Eukaryota; Fungi; Glomeromycota; Glomeromycetes; Glomerales; Glomeraceae.
AGCAGCCGCGGUAAUUCCAGCUCCAAUAGCGUAUAUUAAAGUUGUUGCAGUUAAAAAGCUCGUAGUUGAAUUUCGAGAUCAAAUUGUUGGUCGUGCCUCGGUACGUACUGGCAUUAUUGAUUUCUCCUUUCUGAAGAACCUUGAUGUCAUUAAUUUGGUGUCUUGGGGAAUCAGGACCGUUACUUUGAAAAAAAUUAGAGUGUUUAAAGCAGGCUCACGCUUGAAUACAUUAGCAUGGAAUAAUGAAAUAGGACGUUUGAUUCUAUUUUGUUGGUUUCUAGGAUCGACGUAAUGAUUAAUAGGGAUAGUUGGGGGCAUUAGUAUUCAAUUGUCAGAGGUGAAAUUCUUGGAUUUAUUGAAGACUAACUACUGCGAAAGCAUUUGCCAAGGAUGUUUUCAUUAAUCAAGAACGAAAGUUAGGGGAUCGAAGACGAUCAGAUACCGUCGUAGUCUUAACCAUAAACUAUGCCGACUAGGGAUCGGAUGAUGUUAAUUUUUAAUGACUCAUUCGGCGUCCG